UCCCAUGUAGUCUAGUGGCUAGGAUAUCUAGCUUUCACCCAGAAGGCCCGAGUUCUAUUCCCGGCGUGGAAA
This 72-nucleotide transfer RNA is filed under the name Cordylochernes scorpioides. RNAcentral describes it as "tRNA-Glu". It matches the Rfam family "tRNA". Rfam says of the family: Transfer RNA (tRNA) molecules are approximately 80 nucleotides in length. Lineage: Eukaryota; Metazoa; Arthropoda; Arachnida; Pseudoscorpiones; Chernetidae. The record is from RNAcentral.